Molecule: ribosomal RNA, 468 nt
Filed under: uncultured bacterium
Lineage: Bacteria
Description: partial 16S ribosomal RNA
Rfam family: Bacterial small subunit ribosomal RNA
Source: RNAcentral
GACGAACGCUGGCGGCGUGCUUAACACAUGCAAGUCGAACGGAAAGGCCCUGCUUUUGUGGGGUGCUCGAGUGGCGAACGGGUGAGUAACACGUGAGUAACCUGCCCUUGACUUUGGGAUAACUUCAGGAAACUGGGGCUAAUACCGGAUAGGAGCUCCUGCUGCAUGGUGGGGGUUGGAAAGUUUCGGCGGUUGGGGAUGGACUCGCGGCUUAUCAGCUUGUUGGUGGGGUAGUGGCUUACCAAGGCUUUGACGGGUAGCCGGCCUGAGAGGGUGACCGGCCACAUUGGGACUAAGAUACGGCCCAUACUCCUACGGGAGGCAGCAGUGGGGAAUAUUGCACAAUGGGCGGAAGCCUGAUGCAGCAACGCCGCGUGCGGGAUGACGGCCUUCGGGUUGUAAACCGCUUUCGCCUGUGACGAAGCGUUAGUGACGGUAAUGGGUAAAGAAGCACCGGCUAACUACGUG